GGCAAAAUGAGUAGUUAUUUUUUAAAAAAAUAGUUAUUGAUCACGUUGUAUAACUAAAAUUCCACUAUCAGCCCACGUUCUGCCCAUUAAUUCUUAGAACUCUGUUAUAACUUAUAAUCUAGCAUUUUCUCUACCCUUCAUACCCAUCCACUCCAAUUUUGUGUCAACUGCGUACGACAAUACAUAGUAUCAGCCAAAUGGAAUUUCAUAAAACACUCGCAAAAUCUGGAAUACCCAAGAGGUGAAUCAAAAGCAAAGAGAAGGCUAUGUGCUUAUAUGUUCUAUUCUCAGGAUGAACAAUUGGACUAAACCGCCCACUCACCUGGCAAGAAGAAGACCAACUUGGUAGGUAUGAAACAAUAGAACUUCUGAUUUCAAAUUCAAAAUUUGUUUCGUUUUUCGUUCACCAUAACUUUAUUUUGAACAGUUUAUACAAUGGAUUGAUGGUCAGGGUGUGUGGAACAAUCGAAUCUAUUCUCCAGGGAUCUUUCUUUUAAAACUCUAUCUCUCAAACCAAACAUUUGAAUGAUUUUGCAGCAAAAAUGAAUUCAGAGUCGACGUGUAUUUCAUCGGAUUAGAUAGGGAUGAAGAAGAUUACUACUACUAAGCAAUUGAUUCAGAAAAUUUGAUGGAACACUAUCUCUCUCCAUCCAUUUUUAGUAAAUAUUUCAAAUAUGCUGCAGAAAUAGGUACUCAUUUUUUUAGACCAUUUCAGAUAUCUGGUUAGUUGUAUGCUGAAAAAGAAAUCCAUGAAUUUCUCCUCACAUCUUUGGAAGAAAAACUCCAUUUUUUUUUCUACCGAAGAGUUCUAGCCUUUGUUUCCUGCAUAUCCCUCUCUGGGUGCUUGGUGAUUUGGUAGUAUUUCUCAGGGUCCUUAAAACACUUAGCAAAUAUGCAAAAGAAGGAGGGGCAAAAGUAAAACAUGGAUCUCUAUAUCUUGAGGAAGUGCUCAACCACUAACAGGUCAGAUAAAUUGGUCAAUUCUCAACUUUUAAUGGGGACAAUAGAGUGUGAGGACAAUUGGAUGAUGGGGACAAUCUCAAGUUAUUCUCUUGAAUUUAAUAUAUGUACAUUUUCUUUAUGUUUCGCCUCU
This 1093-nucleotide long non-coding RNA is filed under the name Salvia miltiorrhiza (redroot sage). RNAcentral describes it as "long non-coding RNA (SMIL_LNC011862)". Lineage: Eukaryota; Viridiplantae; Streptophyta; Magnoliopsida; Lamiales; Lamiaceae. The record is from RNAcentral.